UGAAGCCUGAACUUGGCAUGCCCCAGCAAGCCAGGAAGGAAGCAGGAAGAGUUCUUUGCAGCAGACUCUCUGCCCAGACCAUCCAACACAGCUUUUGCAAGCACCAGGGAGACAAUGAAGAUGGAGGAAAGCAGAUGGUGAGAACCCAGAGGAGCCUGCCAAUAACUCAAGGACCCAGUUCAGCCACUUACCCAAGUGCCUCAGCCUUUGUCUUGUGCAACACAAAUCACCAGAUUUUAUAUGAUCUGGGCAUGACAUAGAAACAGGAGAACAAUUUGUAUAAACUUCUAAGUAUGAUCUAAAACUGAACCCCAGCUUUCCAAUGGACUUGCAAUUCAGGCUGAAGCCUUGUGGACUUCCUUGCUAGGUAAAGUGUCCCUUUCCUCCCUCUGUCCCCAACUUGGCCCUUUCGCUAUAUA
Molecule: long non-coding RNA, 419 nt
Organism: Hemicordylus capensis (graceful crag lizard)
Lineage: Eukaryota; Metazoa; Chordata; Lepidosauria; Squamata; Cordylidae
Exons: 3
Source: RefSeq, a predicted model, not a curated record